GGAGCCAUGGCUCAGCGGUAGAACACCUGCCUAACACGCAGAAGGUCCCGGGUUCAGUCCUCGGCAUCUCCA
This 72-nucleotide transfer RNA is filed under the name Sphaerodactylus townsendi. Its description in RNAcentral is "tRNA-Val". It matches the Rfam family "tRNA". Rfam says of the family: Transfer RNA (tRNA) molecules are approximately 80 nucleotides in length. Their secondary structure includes four short double-helical elements and three loops (D, anti-codon, and T loops). The record is from RNAcentral. Lineage: Eukaryota; Metazoa; Chordata; Lepidosauria; Squamata; Sphaerodactylidae.